Molecule: long non-coding RNA, 2732 nt
Organism: Panicum virgatum (switchgrass)
Lineage: Eukaryota; Viridiplantae; Streptophyta; Magnoliopsida; Poales; Poaceae
Exons: 6
Source: RefSeq, a predicted model, not a curated record
UUGCCCGACCCCCCCACCCCUCUUCCAGUCUUCCUCCUCCCGCAUCGCCGCUAGCCCACUACUAGGGUUUAGAUCCCGCAUCGCCGCCUAAGUCAGCCGCAUCAUGGAAUCCGACGGGGAGGGCCACCGCAGACCCAAGCGUCGUCGGGACGAAGACGUUGAUCGGCACCGGCACCAGAAGCAGGAUCCUCGCGGCCAGGCACAUGACGGCGACGAGUACAUCGGCCGGCACCAGGAGCCUCGCCGCUACGAGUACCCCGGCAGGCACCGGGAGCAUCGUGUCCGCGACGACGAGCGCUACGAGUACCACGGCCGGUACCGGGAGCCUCGCGACCGCGACGACGAGCGCUACGAGUACCACGGCCGGUACCGGGAGUCCGGGAGCCUCGCGACCGCGACGACGAGCGCUACGAGGACCGAGGGCCUCGCGACUACGACGGUGGCCGCUACGGGUACCGCGAUCGACCCCGGUUCUGCAGAAGCCACGACCGUCGUGACCCUCCCCAGGGCGACGAACGUGACCUGGGCCACGCCGAGGGUGACGGUGACCCCAAGCGGGAGAGCGACCGUGGCCGCACCGAGGGUGACGGUUACCGCAACCGUGGCCGCAGCGAGCGUGAUGAUAGCCGCAAUCAGGAGAGGGAGAGCGGCAGGAAGCGAGACAGUGCCACUUGUGAUGGUGUGAUUUAUAGCAAAAAACCUUCUGAUGCAACACAGCCUGUAUCAAUCUUUGACUCUCCACCUUCAACAACUGCAAGCGAUGUGUGCUCUGGACCGCCUGAGCUUGCUGGAACUGCUAUGGAAACUAAAAUAGUUCAGGACCCCAGUGAAUGCCUUGUUCUCAACAUUUCAUUUGAUCAAGUCACAGAUAAGAAGAAAUCCGAUUCCAAGUAUAUUAGGUACCACAUUCUUCAAAAAUGUACUGCAGCUGGUGGCGUCGACCAUAUCCAUGUCGACACAAAAAGAGGUCUAGUGUACCUGCGCUUCCGUACUACUAGAAUAGCUAUGCUUGCCCAAGAAGUAUUUCAUGGAGACUUCUAUGAAGGAAAUUUAAUUACAGCUGAUUUCAUGGAGUCAAGUCUGUACUCACGGAUGUUCCCAAUCAUGAACUAGGGGCCAGAGCCGCAACUAAUGGAUGUGAGUCUUUUGAUCUCAUGCACAGAAUUUUACUCUAUUUCUAGCAUCAGUUGUAUUAAAUACUAGGUAUACCCUGUGAUUGAUUGUGCUUUAGGCUAACUCUAAUGCAUAGAACCACCUUGCUCCUAUGCUGAAAUCACUGAUCUUGUUGUAGAGGGUUAUAGACGUUGUAGAGAUACUACAAAUGUAUGGAGGUUGUAGAGGGUUGUAGGUGGGAUCCAAAACAGGGUUUGAUUCCUACAACUAGACAGCUAACUAAGUAAUGUUUGGACUCAUCGAAUUAACCUGCCCAACUUGCUUAGGCCAUUGGCUUUGUUGUUAUUUUGUUUGAUUCUGUGAAUCAUCUGAUUGCACUCUCUUCCGUAUUUGCUUGAAAAGUAUGCCAUUUAAUAAAAACAGUGAACUCUUGGGUGAGAGUGUUUUACUUUUGAAAAGAAAGGGUGGAAUGGAUUAUUGUUUACAGUAAAAGCAAGUCGCAAAACAAGUAGUGCGUGAUUGUCUAUGUACAGCAUGACUCCUCUAAGGAUUAGUUCUUCUCCUGUGACUUCAUUAGUUACAUGGGAAUACUCGUAUCCCUCUUCAUAGAUUAGCAAUACAAUCUUUAUGCUUGUAUUUGUGAGCAUUCUGUUGCCCAUUCCUAUUAGUUAUACGUAAGUUUAAGAUAUGUUACUGUUUAUGCUUCCGCCUUAGGUUUUCUGAGUAUAUUGCAGCAAGUAAGACCAAAAUAUAAGAUAAAAUGUAAAGUUGCCUGUUGUGUAGGAUAUGAAUUAUAUCUCAUCAUCUAAAUCCAUGUUCCAUUGUUUUUUUUGGUUAAGGGUAUGACUCCCAUCAUUAUCCUUAGUGCUCCCUUGUAGGUUUCUUAGUUGCUACCUGUAAUCCCAGUUUUGCAGUUUGGGUAAUUGACCAUAUAUUGAGGCAGCUCACUUACCUGUACUGUUGGAUUAUUAAUUAAUUACAUAAAUUUAUCAACUGUACCUAGUAUAUAAACAAAAAUAAGAGAAAGGUUACGUGGUCAACUGCCAACUUAAAAGUAUAUUUGGCGAUUUUAGGAAAGUUUUAGGUACCACCAGACAUCAGUGCAAAUUUCUCACUGGAUAAAGUGUGCAGAGUUCAUAUGAUUGUGUUUGCAAUUAUGCAUAUUUGGUAUAUUUCCCUUGAUGUGAUUUGCUAAUAUCAGUGAGUUAUCUCUUAGUUGUCAAUGAUUAUCAAAAGUUAGUAUGCAUUCUAUUCGUAAAUGCAAAAGAUUUGACUAUCUGGUUUGUUUAUGCAGUUGAUAUUGCAGAAUGAAUAUGGAUGAAGCAUGUGGUCAUGAUUCUGAGUUAUUAUUAUUAUACUGAACAUGGAAGAAAUUUGGAAUCUGUGAAGGGUUAAGGAGUGUAAUGUUCAAAUUUUGUAGCGAGGCUGUAGUGGCUCUCUUGUUUUGGCAGACGAAGCAAAACUUGUCCUAUUCACUCAAUUGCAGCAUACGUUUAUGGAUAAGUCGCUUUGGAUAUGUGUUGUGGUGUUGUUAUUCACUCAAUUGCAGCCUACGUUGGGCGAAUUUUUUGUAUAUGCUUCUAUUCACUAGAGUUCAGAAAUUCAUGAACGUUUCCAUU